AUGGCGGAUCAGUGGGUGGUUUGUUUCUCCGAUCCGAUCCGCAGAUGGAUCGAGGGACGGCUACAACAUUCUUUGUCAUCGCGCUGGACGUCACUUCGUGAUAUGGAUAACGACAUCCUUGCCGGCGACUACCUGGCAGCGGACAUUCAGAUCGAGGUAGGGAUGCGUUUUAUUUUAGAUGACUUCGAUGUCCAUGUGUUGUCAUGUUUGCAGGAGGUUCAGAGAGAGGAGAUCGAAGUGAUCGAUUUGACGACGACGCACGAGGCGAUGCGGGAGGCGCCCGCGGCCAUUGCAAUGGCCAAGACGAUGGCGCCGGGGUCUUCGACGCCGGCCCGCGCUGACGCCCCCGGUGAUAGCCGGAGAGUGGGGGGGGGGGGAGAUUCUGGGCUCUAG
This 393-nucleotide ribosomal RNA is filed under the name Triticum aestivum (bread wheat). Its description in RNAcentral is "partial small subunit ribosomal RNA". The record is from RNAcentral. Lineage: Eukaryota; Viridiplantae; Streptophyta; Magnoliopsida; Poales; Poaceae.